This 497-nucleotide ribosomal RNA is filed under the name uncultured bacterium. RNAcentral describes it as "partial 16S ribosomal RNA". It matches the Rfam family "Bacterial small subunit ribosomal RNA", at positions 28 to 507 of the family's 1533-position model. The record is from RNAcentral.
GAUGAACGCUGGCGGCGUGCCUAAUACAUGCAAGCCGAGCGAACAGACGAGGAGCUUGCUCCUCUGACGUUAGCGGCGGACGGGUGAGUAACACGUGGAUAACCUACCUAUAAGACUGGGAUAACUUCGGGAAACCGGAGCUAAUACCGGAUAAUAUAUUGAACCGCAUGGUUCAAUAGUGAAAGACGGUUUUGCUGUCACUUAUAGAUGGAUCCGCGCCGCAUUAGCUAGUUGGUAAGGUAACGGCUUACCAAGGCAACGAUGCGUAGCCGACCUGAGAGGGUGAUCGGCCACACUGGAACUGAGACACGGUCCAGACUCCUACGGGAGGCAGCAGUAGGGAAUCUUCCGCAAAGGGCGAAAGCCUGACGGAGCAACGCCGCGUGAGUGAUGAAGGUCUUCGGAUCGUAAAACUCUGUUAUUAGGGAAGAACAAAUGUGUAAGUAACUAUGCACGUCUUGACGGUACCUAAUCAGAAAGCCACGGCUAACUACGUG